Long non-coding RNA from Perognathus longimembris pacificus (Pacific pocket mouse), 163 nucleotides. RefSeq lists it as uncharacterized. NCBI's taxonomy places the organism in Eukaryota, Metazoa, Chordata, Mammalia, Rodentia, Heteromyidae. The record is from RefSeq and is a predicted model, not a curated record. The transcript has 3 exons.
AUCUUGUUCUUCAUGUUAGCUAGGACUUUUUACAGAUUAGCUUGAUUUUAGCUUUACUGGGGUAUUAAUUUUAUACUCUUUACGCCGGUUUUUAUUUACUAGGGUCAUUCGUAUGACCGCAGUGGCUGGCAUGAAGUUUACCAACCCUAUAUCAGUAUAACUU